This 1522-nucleotide ribosomal RNA is filed under the name human gut metagenome. RNAcentral's name for it is "bacterial SSU rRNA". It matches the Rfam family "Bacterial small subunit ribosomal RNA". The record is from RNAcentral.
AGAGUUUGAUCAUGGCUCAGAUUGAACGCUGGCGGCAGGCCUAACACAUGCAAGUCGAACGGUAACAGGAAGAAGCUUGCUUCUUUGCUGACGAGUGGCGGACGGGUGAGUAAUGUCUGGGAAACUGCCUGAUGGAGGGGGAUAACUACUGGAAACGGUAGCUAAUACCGCAUAACGUCGCAAGACCAAAGAGGGGGACCUUCGGGCCUCUUGCCAUCGGAUGUGCCCAGAUGGGAUUAGCUAGUAGGUGGGGUAACGGCUCACCUAGGCGACGAUCCCUAGCUGGUCUGAGAGGAUGACCAGCCACACUGGAACUGAGACACGGUCCAGACUCCUACGGGAGGCAGCAGUGGGGAAUAUUGCACAAUGGGCGCAAGCCUGAUGCAGCCAUGCCGCGUGUAUGAAGAAGGCCUUCGGGUUGUAAAGUACUUUCAGCGGGGAGGAAGGGAGUAAAGUUAAUACCUUUGCUCAUUGACGUUACCCGCAGAAGAAGCACCGGCUAACUCCGUGCCAGCAGCCGCGGUAAUACGGAAGGUGCAAGCGUUAAUCGGAAUUACUGGGCGUAAAGCGCACGCAGGCGGUUUGUUAAGUCAGAUGUGAAAUCCCCGGGCUCAACCUGGGAACUGCAUCUGAUACUGGCAAGCUUGAGUCUCGUAGAGGGGGGUAGAAUUCCAGGUGUAGCGGUGAAAUGCGUAGAGAUCUGGAGGAAUACCGGUGGCGAAGGCGGCCCCCUGGACGAAGACUGACGCUCAGGUGCGAAAGCGUGGGGAGCAAACAGGAUUAGAUACCCUGGUAGUCCACGCCGUAAACGAUGUCGACUUGGAGGUUGUGCCCUUGAGGCGUGGCUUCCGGAGCUAACGCGUUAAGUCGACCGCCUGGGGAGUACGGCCGCAAGGUUAAAACUCAAAUGAAUUGACGGGGGCCCGCACAAGCGGUGGAGCAUGUGGUUUAAUUCGAUGCAACGCGAAGAACCUUACCUGGUCUUGACAUCCACAGAACUUUCCAGAGAUGGAUUGGUGCCUUCGGGAACUGUGAGACAGGUGCUGCAUGGCUGUCGUCAGCUCGUGUUGUGAAAUGUUGGGUUAAGUCCCGCAACGAGCGCAACCCUUAUCCUUUGUUGCCAGCGGUCCGGCCGGGAACUCAAAGGAGACUGCCAGUGAUAAACUGGAGGAAGGUGGGGAUGACGUCAAGUCAUCAUGGCCCUUACGACCAGGGCUACACACGUGCUACAAUGGCGCAUACAAAGAGAAGCGACCUCGCGAGAGCAAGCGGACCUCAUAAAGUGCGUCGUAGUCCGGAUUGGAGUCUGCAACUCGACUCCAUGAAGUCGGAAUCGCUAGUAAUCGUGGAUCAGAAUGCCACGGUGAAUACGUUCCCGGGCCUUGUACACACCGCCCGUCACACCAUGGGAGUGGGUUGCAAAAGAAGUAGGUAGCUUAACCUUCGGGAGGGCGCUUACCACUUUGUGAUUCAUGACUGGGGUGAAGUCGUAACAAGGUAACCGUAGGGGAACCUGCGGUUG